UCUCCCCAGGGAUAUUUAAGGCUUGGCUGCAGCAACUCGCGUAGGCAGAUAGGGGCUGGAAUUGAAUCGGUAGGGUAGAUUGACUACUGGCAGCAUCAGCAGAGCUUCAGACCACGUUGACAGCACAUCUGCUCGGCUCUGCCCUGGCAGUGGUUCUGGCAGGCGCUGAGGUGGCUACUUCAAAGUUAGCAGGAACACGCUUCAUUUUGCCCAGAGUGAGAUGGAUCGAGAGUCUCAGAGAUGGAAAACAGUGGAUCUGGAUCAGUUCUGAACGUCUGCAAUGAAAUAUUUCAGAACACAUUGACAUUUAGGGCAGCUGAAGUUCUGAAGCCCUUUUUAGAGCAGCCGGUAACUUGAUGCUCCCGAAAGCUGUUUUUUUCAGACCCAGGCAUGACAUGAGAAAUCAAUGUGAUUAGCAAGGAGAGGCAUGUUCUUAGAAGAGACGCAGAGCACCCAAGGUUAUUCCUAGAGGAGUCAUCAUCUAGCGGUUCGUGCACUGUAGGAAACAGCUUCUGAAAAGUUAAGAUUGAACCUGGCUUUCACCGCUGCAGCCACCACAGCUCCUCCAGUGCAUCCAGGCUAAGGGCGGCAAGCGCGCUCUCUGCAGCGGGCUCUGUCGCUGAAGAAUGUUUCAGAAUGAUGGUAAAUGGAACUGUUAUCUCGUCCUGUCUGCUCACAACUCCUGGUUGAGUUCUUAAGAACUGGAGUGAAAGCUGGAGACUUGCACUCUCCCCAUCCCCUGUAAACUAUUUCUGAGCAUGGCUCCUGGAAUCUGAAAGUUAUAUUUAUUCACUGAGUAAUAACGUUAGCAGUGCCAAUAGCAAUAGGAAGUUCACAGUAAGAGUUCUGGUAUAUAAAAAUAGUUGGGUUACAGCAAUAAAUAACAUCAGUUGCGCUCUUAAAACAACAGCAUUCUGAUUCAGUUUGUUUUGGAAUGCUAGAUGAGUAAAUAUGCUUCUUUCAGCUAUGUCUGUAUAUCACUCCCUGUAAUCAGCACCGUGUAUGUGCCCUUAAGAGAAAACUUGGCCUUGUCUGUAGAUGAGUGAGAGGAGCCACAGUAUCAGGGACAGGAUCGUAACGUACUAGAAUAACCUCGGCCAGUUAUGGUCUGCGGCACUUGGAUGCAUCUAGGCUAGCAGGUACACUAUUAAAAGGUUUAAACACCAUUCCGUUUAAUCAUUAGCAUCAAUCAACAGAGCAGGUUAAGCAGCAUUGGAAAGAAAUAAACAAUACACAAUUCGGAUGUGUUAUCUACCGGGCCUGCCCGAGUUGAGGGAACUCACAGAGUGUGCUGUCAAACUGCUUUGCAGGAGUUUGGACAUCAGCUUCUCAUAUGAUUGUUACAAAAUCAAAGUAUUCAAGCCAUUCUCCUGUAAAUUCUCAG
Molecule: long non-coding RNA, 1384 nt
Organism: Cuculus canorus (common cuckoo)
Lineage: Eukaryota; Metazoa; Chordata; Aves; Cuculiformes; Cuculidae
Exons: 4
Source: RefSeq, a predicted model, not a curated record